AGAGUUUGAUCCUGGCUCAGGACGAACGCUGGCGGCGUGCCUAACACAUGCAAGUCGAGCGAGAGACUUCGGUCUCUAGCGGCGGACGGGUGAGUAACACGUGGGUAACCUGCCUCAAACAGGGGGAUAGCCUUCCGAAAGGAAGAUUAAUACCGCAUAACAUCAAAUUGCCGCAUGGUAGUUUGAUCAAAGGAGUAAUCCGGUUUGAGAUGGACCCGCGGCGCAUUAGCUAGUUGGUGAGGUAACGGCUCACCAAGGCGACGAUGCGUAGCCGACCUGAGAGGGUGAUCGGCCACAUUGGAACUGAGAUACGGUCCAAACUCCUACGGGAGGCAGCAGUGGGGAAUAUUGCACAAUGGGCGAAAGCCUGAUGCAGCAACGCCGCGUGAGUGAUGAAGGCCUUCGGGUUGUAAAACUCUGUCUUUGGGGACGAUAAUGACGGUACCCAAGGAGGAAGCCACGGCUAACUACGUGCCAGCAGCCGCGGUAAUACGUAGGUGGCAAGCGUUGUCCGGAUUUACUGGGCGUAAAGGAUGCGUAGGUGGAUAUUUAAGUCAGAUGUGAAAUACCCGAGCUUAACUUGGGUGCUGCAUUUGAAACUGGAUAUCUAGAGUGCAGGAGAGGUAAGUGGAAUUCCUAGUGUAGCGGUGAAAUGCGUAGAGAUUAGGAAGAACACCAGUGGCGAAGGCGACUUACUGGACUGUAACUGACACUGAGGCAUGAAAGCGUGGGGAGCAAACAGGAUUAGAUACCCUGGUAGUCCACGCCGUAAACGAUGAGUACUAGGUGUAGGAGGUAUCGACUCCUUCUGUGCCGCAGUUAACACAAUAAGUACUCCGCCUGGGAAGUACGGUCGCAAGAUUAAAACUCAAAGGAAUUGACGG
Molecule: ribosomal RNA, 884 nt
Filed under: uncultured bacterium
Lineage: Bacteria
Description: bacterial SSU rRNA
Rfam family: Bacterial small subunit ribosomal RNA
Source: RNAcentral